CUUCAGCCCUGAUGGGAGCGGCAUCCUUUUUCUUUCGUUGAGGCUCUCACCGAAAGAAAAAGAUAGAGCGGACAGCAGGAACAGGG
This 86-nucleotide small RNA is filed under the name Flavobacterium cauense R2A-7. Its description in RNAcentral is "Flavo-1 RNA". It matches the Rfam family "Flavo-1 RNA". The record is from RNAcentral. Lineage: Bacteria; Pseudomonadati; Bacteroidota; Flavobacteriia; Flavobacteriales; Flavobacteriaceae.